UACGUAGGGUGCGAGCGUUUAAUCGGAAUUACUGGGCGUAAAGAGUGCGUAGGCGGUUCUUUGUGUCCGCUGUGAAAGCCCCGGGCUUAACCUGGGAAUGGCAGUGGAAACUAGAGAACUUGAAUCUGGCAGAGGGGGGUGGAAUGGCCACGGUGUAGCAGUGAAAUGCGUAGAUAUGUGGCGGAACGACCAUGGCGAAGGCAGCCCCCUGGGCU
Molecule: ribosomal RNA, 215 nt
Filed under: uncultured bacterium
Lineage: Bacteria
Description: partial 16S ribosomal RNA
Rfam family: Bacterial small subunit ribosomal RNA
Source: RNAcentral